GACGAACGCUGGCGGCGCGCCUAACACAUGCAAGUCGAACGGAGUUAUUUUCUUCACUCCGAGCUUUUUGCCAGUUAGCCGGAGCGGCAAUCGGUUUUGCCCAGCAUAAAAAGCAAAACCGAUUUAGGCUCAUAAAGUAAGACUAACACAGAGGGCAGAGAGUUGGGAGUGAAGAAAAUAACUUAGUGGCGAACGGGUGAGUAACGCGUGAGUAACCUGCCCUGGAGUGGGGGACAACAGUUGGAAACGACUGCUAAUACCGCAUAAGCCCACGAUCCGGCAUCGGAUUGAGGGAAAAGGAUUUAUUCGCUUCAGGAUGGACUCGCGUCCAAUUAGCUAGUUGGUGAGGUAACGGCCCACCAAGGCGACGAUUGGUAGCCGGACUGAGAGGUUGAACGGCCACAUUGGGACUGAGACACGGCCCAGACUCCUACGGGAGGCAGCAGUGGGGGAUAUUGCACAAUGGGGGAAACCCUGAUGCAGCGACGCCGCGUGGAGGAAGAAGGUUUUCGGAUUGUAAACUCCUGUCGUUAGGGACGAUAAUGACGGUACCUAACAAGAAAGCACCGGCUAACUACGUGCCAGCAGCCGCGGUAAAACGUAGGGUGCAAGCGUUGUCCGGAAUUACUGGGUGUAAAGGGAGCGCAGGCGGACCGGCAAGUUGGAAGUGAAAACUAUGGGCUCAACCCAUAAAUUGCUUUCAAAACUGCUGGCCUUGAGUAGUGCAGAGGUAGGUGGAAUUCCCGGUGUAGCGGUGGAAUGCGUAGAUAUCGGGAGGAACACCAGUGGCGAAGGCGACCUACUGGGCACCAACUGACGCUGAGGCUCGAAAGCAUGGGUAGCAAACAGGAUUAGAUACCCUGGUAGUCCAUGCCGUAAACGAUGAUUUACUAGGUGUUGGAGGAUUGACCCCUUCAGUGCCGCAGUUAACACAAUAAGUAAUCCACCUGGGGAGUACGACCGCAAGGUUGAAACUCAAAGGAAUUGACGGGGGCCCGCACAAGCAGUGGAGUAUGUGGUUUAAUUUGAAGCAACGCGAAGAACCUUACCAGGUCUUGACAUCCGAUGCAUAGCGCAGAGAUGCGUGAAGUCCUUCGGGACAUCGAGACAGGUGGUGCAUGGUUGUCGUCAGCUCGUGUCGUGAGAUGUUGGGUUAAGUCCCGCAACGAGCGCAACCCUUAUUGCCAGUUACUACGAAAGAGGACUCUGGCGAGACUGCCGUUGACAAAACGGAGGAAGGUGGGGAGGACGUCAAAUCAUCAUGCCCUUUAUGACCUGGGCUACACACGUACUACAAUGGCGUUUAACAAAGAGAAGCAAGACCGCGAGGUGGAGCAAAACUCAAAAACAACGUCUCAGUUCAGAUUGCAGGCUGCAACUCGCCUGCAUGAAGUCGGAAUUGCUAGUAAUCGCGGAUCAGCAUGCCGCGGUGAAUAAAAUCCCGGGCCUUGCACA
RNAcentral lists this ribosomal RNA (1455 nucleotides) under uncultured bacterium. Its description in RNAcentral is "bacterial SSU rRNA". It matches the Rfam family "Bacterial small subunit ribosomal RNA", at positions 28 to 1387 of the family's 1533-position model. The record is from RNAcentral.